Molecule: long non-coding RNA, 495 nt
Organism: Poecilia latipinna (sailfin molly)
Lineage: Eukaryota; Metazoa; Chordata; Actinopteri; Cyprinodontiformes; Poeciliidae
Exons: 2
Source: RefSeq, a predicted model, not a curated record
GCAACCUUUGAUGGCUCUAUGAUUUCUCUGCCUCCUGCUAACACUCCUAACAGGAGAAAACAGAUGAGAGUAACACAAACGGAGAGAGAAACGAGGGCCAAUGAGGGAAAAAGGUAGCAGAUGCUGUUGUCUGUGGCCAAGAGGGAUCCUCCUGUAGCCGUCUAUAUUGCAAUGAGUCUGAAGAAGCCUCUGACUCAAGACCAUCUGUUGUCGUGUGAACGUCUCAUGAAGACGGCUAUUCCGGUGGCAGCAACAUACUGUGGGAAUACUUGGAACAAGAUUCAGAAGGUGAUCUGAGUUGAAGAGAAGAUGGAUGGAGAAAGGAAAACGUCUUGAGAUGAAAGCUAAAAGCCAGAGCUUCAAUUGAAAGGUUUAGAUCAAAGAAUGUUCAGACAUAUAUGAAGACAAUCAAGAAUCUGUGAUUAGGCUGUGUGGACACUUCUGCAAAGCGCCACACAGCUAAACAUAAAAUGAAAUAAAUUAUUGUUAAUGUGA